This 254-nucleotide ribosomal RNA is filed under the name uncultured bacterium. RNAcentral's name for it is "partial 16S ribosomal RNA". It matches the Rfam family "Bacterial small subunit ribosomal RNA", at positions 524 to 776 of the family's 1533-position model. The record is from RNAcentral.
CAUGUAGGGCGCGAGCGUUGUCCGGAAUUACUGGGCGUAAAGGGCUCGUAGGCGGCCAACUAAGUCAUACGUGAAAUCCCUCGGCUUAACCGGGGAACUGCGUCUGAUACUGGAUGGCUUGAGUGUGGGAGAGGGAUGCGGAAUUCCAGGUGUAGCGGUGAAAUGCGUAGAUAUCUGGAGGAACACCGGUGGCGAAGGCGGCAUCCUGGACCAUUACUGACGCUGAGUGAGCGAAAGCCAGGGGAGCAAACGGG